GGGGGCGACUUGGCUUCGACGCGGGUUGCAAAACCGGAGGUGCAUGCCGAGAACUGAGAGAUCUCUCGUAAAUCAUUCUCAAUUAAAUAUAAAUGCAAACGAUGAAAACUUUGCAGGUGAAGCUAUCGCUGCGUAAGCUUUGAUAGCGUAACCGCACCGUGCGCUGCCAUAAAACCAGCGCCCCGUUGACCGAGCUUGCUUAUCGGUAUCGAAUCAACGGUCAUAGAAGAUAAGCUAGCUUCUUUGGUUGUCUUGCCCUUAGAAGCGAAACUAAAAGACUAGCUGUGUUCGAUCCUGCUUGUCGGAGAGGCCACAGUGAAAUUCAAACGGCAAAGCUAAGCAUGUAGAUCUAAAGGCAGAGGAUUUGCGGACGCGGGUUCAAUUCCCGCCGCCUCCACCA
RNAcentral lists this transfer-messenger RNA (400 nucleotides) under Legionellaceae. RNAcentral describes it as "Legionella_C beliardensis Standard tmRNA". It matches the Rfam family "transfer-messenger RNA". From Rfam's summary of the family: Bacterial tmRNA, also known as 10Sa RNA or SsrA, is named for its dual tRNA and mRNA-like properties. Its role is to liberate the mRNA from a stalled ribosome. Lineage: Bacteria; Pseudomonadati; Pseudomonadota; Gammaproteobacteria; Legionellales. The record is from RNAcentral. RNAcentral also lists the same sequence under 1 other name.